UGGGCUACAUGAGACCCUGCUCCCCAAAAACAAUAAGAGAAAAAUCUGCAACAUAACCAGACAGGACUGUAAUCAUAGCAUGCAAAAGAAUGUGACAGGAGACUUGAGAUCUGUCUGAGUUACACAGCCAAUUGGUCAAUUUAUCAAAAUUCUGACUUUGUCUCAAAAUCAAAAUUAAAAAUAACUGGAGAGUAUCUCAGUGGCAGAGUGCUGGUCUCCCGUGGGCAAGGCCUAGGGUCAAUCCAAAAUAGCAAAUAACAAUAAAACAAAAUAACAAUACAAAUAAAAUACAAAAUAACAAUAAUGAAAAUUUUUAAAUACUAUUGAAUUCCAUACAAAAUUGCCAUGACCAGACCAGAUCUAUAUCAAUGUGUGAGCAGACAGUCAGGUCAUAGCUAGGCACCUAUGCUUCAUGUCCUGUACCACAAACCACAUCAAGGAGCUAAAUUGUCACCUUUCUCCAACAACCUUCCACAUUCACCAGGACUUGUGUCCUUCAGGUCCUACAGUGUAAGUCUCAGCCCCGCCUGGACAAAGCUUGCCGCCAGCAACUUAUGUGGUAGUUCUGAAUCCCAAUAGAAAAUCAAGUCCAGCCAGACACAACACAGUCAGACUCCUGACUCCCUGGUCACAAGGGUAAUCUUUCCCAGGUGCCUCCCUGGAACUCAUCAGAGCUGAAGCACGGGCCCCCUGAGUUCCCCCAAUGAAGGGAAUCGAAACAUAUCCAACCGAACACUAGGUAUUUCUUUUCAAACAUAUUUGACAUUCCUGGGUAUACAUCCCUAUAAAGGAGGCUUCAGACCCUUCAAGACAUCUGCAGCUCAAAGGAUGCAUUUAUUUCUAGAACUGGAAGGUGAACUGGGUGCUUAGUCAGAGUACACAAGCAGGAAUAGGGCUCCCCUUCUACCCAAGUUAGUCACUCACCUCUCCCAAACUCAUAACAACCCAGCCCUAAUGACAGUGAAACAAAGCACACUGUCCAGCCAACCACGUAAGUUCUGAAAGUCUGCAAAGCGAUGGAGAAAAGCGCCGGAUCCUUUUCUUUUGGUGUCCAAAGCAACAGAUGACUUCGUAGACACAUGGACCUCGAUCAUAUUCUACUGACAGUCCUUGCUUCUGUCCUACCCAGGUGCGUGGAGCACGGCGGGCGGGCAGGUAGGCAGGCAGGCGGGCCACACCUGUGCACUUGGCUGAUAGAAGGGGACAUGGGGCACUGCCUUGUACACCACUGCAUGGUGGUUUCUUGCUACAGUGAGACAAACCACACAUUUUGGGAAACAAGAAUUUAUUUCUGGAUAUUUCCGCGUUUCAUUCUAAUGUAGCACAGAAGGAGGCAGAAUUCACUUAGGGUUAGAAGAUAAUGUUUAAAAUAACCUACUUGCUCUUUAGCAUCUACCAGCCCAGCAGGUGUGUUUCCUGUACCACACAUAGUCAAGGCUCAAACCCCAAAUCCUGCCACUUUAAGAAAGAACAGGAUCUCAGUAUAUAGCCUAGGUUAACUCAAACUCACUAUCCUCCUGCCUCAGCCUCCUCGAUGCUGGGAGUGCAGGUGAUUACCUCUACCCAGAAAGAUUCUGUCAACUUCUGCCCUAUACAUAGAAAAUAAAAGGACAAAUGUAUAUGAAAACAUAUUUAGGAUAUUAAAAACAAGGAAUUUAAAACAUCAUUGAAAUAACAAAAUAUCAAACCCAAAAGCUGAUUCCACCUGUUAAGGACAGAUCAAGAAAAACCUUGGCAAUCUGCAGAAGUACUGGGUUCAUAUGCUAAGCCUCAAAGAAGGUCACAAGGACACCUUGCUGCCCUGUACCACCUCUAAGCCUUAUGAAAUACAAACUGAGAAGUACCUCAUUCCAGAAGAGAGAUUU
This 1865-nucleotide long non-coding RNA is filed under the name Mus musculus (house mouse). RNAcentral's name for it is "long non-coding RNA chr2:181407659-181409524". Lineage: Eukaryota; Metazoa; Chordata; Mammalia; Rodentia; Muridae. The record is from RNAcentral.